Molecule: long non-coding RNA, 1376 nt
Organism: Hemibagrus wyckioides
Lineage: Eukaryota; Metazoa; Chordata; Actinopteri; Siluriformes; Bagridae
Exons: 3
Source: RefSeq, a predicted model, not a curated record
AUAAUACAGUAGGACAUGAAUGCUAUUUAUGGUACGAAGAAGAGAGCGACAACAUCCUUCCAUCCUUUAAACAUUUCUACACAGACUCCUAGACAUGGCGAGGACUAGUAUUUCAUUAUUUUCUAAAGGAACGAAUUUGAAAUGGCAUUUUUGAACGUAUUUGUAUCUUGGAGUAUUCCAUUGUGGGCGUGUCCCACUGCACCUACGGCUCUUUUAAUACAAGGGUUUGUUGAUUGCGCUCGGCAGUAAAGCUAAGAUUAUUUGUGGAUUUAUUGACUUAUUUCCACGGAACUAUCGUAAUCCGGCCCUUAAUGCUGACGCCAAGCGCAUAUUUAGUGGUUCCAACUUGUCCAGACUUGGUCAGUGGACUGUUAUUUAUGGACAAGCUCCGUUCUGCCUUCCGGGUUGUUUCAGUCGAGUUGAGUGACGGUUGAAUUGUCCAAUCCGCAGAGGGAUUGCGUUCGGCUCCCCAGCCUAUCAGCUGUACGGAUGGACGGACAAGCAGAGAGUUGAGCUUCUCUGUAUGAGUACAAGAAAAGAGACAACAACAAAGUGAAUAACAAAAAGAAGACAAAAACCUUCUCCCUGUGUGGAAAAGACGUAAUCCUCGAGAAACCACCUGUGAUGGACUUCAUUUGAGCUUUCCCAGAUUGAGGAGGAAUUUGCAUGGGCGGUCCUGUUGGGAGGACUUGAUGACACCCUCAACCUUUUAAAUGAAGCAGGUACAUAUAACAACCUAGCACUUAGCUUUAUGUACUAGCAUUUAUAAAAUUUUAAAUAAUAAAAUGGUAAAUAAGGAUUUGUUGAAAAAGGUGUGACAUGAGGUGAAGAAGAAAGGACAGAAAUAUGGGCUUUCUUUUAGCACAGGAAAGAAAAACAGAUUCUUAAUAUUUCCAACAUUAUUUACAUUUACAUUUUACUGCAUGUGGCAGAUGCCCAUAUCCAGAGCGAUGUACAAUAGUGCUGUGAAGUCUAUCAAUAAACACAACACUGGUUCAUAAGGGUACAGACUCAGGAUACCAGCAGCCUGAAACUCUGUUAGGAGGAAUUACAGCACAAUGUAUAUUUUUAUUUAUUUUUUUAAAAAUAAAGCAAACAGGGAUAAAUAAGCACUAGUUUAAGUGUUUCAGGAAGAGGCAGGUCUUCACCCUUUGUUUGAAGACGGUCAGUGACUCGGCUUUAGACACCUAAGGGAAGUUCAUUCCCCCACCCUGGUGUCAGAACAGAGAAGAGUCUAGAUGUAGACCUACCUCUUACCCUGAGAGAUGGUGGACCAGUCCAGCAGUGCUAGUGGACCUGAGGGAGCGAGGUACAGUGUGAUAUGAGUAAUAAGAGAUUUGAGGUCAGAUGGAGCUGGUCCAUUCUUGGCUUUGUAG